GCGUAGGAAUCUACCUAUCGGUGGGGGAUAGCCCGGAGAAAUCCGGAUUAAUACCGCAUAUGUCCUACGGGACAAAGGGGCCCUCUCCUUGGAAGCUCUCGCCGAUAGAUGAGCCUGCGUUAGAUUAGCUAGUUGGUAGGGUAAAGGCCUACCAAGGCGACGAUCUAUAGCUGGUCUGAGAGGAUGAUCAGCCACACUGGGACUGAGACACGGCCCAGACUCCUACGGGAGGCAGCAGUGGGGAAUAUUGGACAAUGGGCGCAAGCCUGAUCCAGCAAUACCGCGUGUGUGAAGAAGGGU
Molecule: ribosomal RNA, 300 nt
Filed under: uncultured Oceanospirillales bacterium
Lineage: Bacteria; Pseudomonadati; Pseudomonadota; Gammaproteobacteria; Oceanospirillales
Description: bacterial SSU rRNA
Rfam family: Bacterial small subunit ribosomal RNA
Source: RNAcentral